This 133-nucleotide small nuclear RNA is filed under the name Rhinopithecus roxellana (golden snub-nosed monkey). RNAcentral describes it as "U4 spliceosomal RNA (ENSRROG00000021489.1)". It matches the Rfam family "U4 spliceosomal RNA". Rfam says of the family: U4 small nuclear RNA (U4 snRNA) is a component of the major U2-dependent spliceosome. The structure of U4 snRNA from yeast and human has been reported. Lineage: Eukaryota; Metazoa; Chordata; Mammalia; Primates; Cercopithecidae. The record is from Rfam by way of RNAcentral.
AGCUUUGUGCAGUGGCAGUAUCAUAGCCAUUGAGAUUUGUCCAAGGUACAAUUAUUGCUAAUUGAAAACGUUUCGGGGCCGGGCGCGGUGGCUCAAGCCUGUAAUCCCAGCGCUUUGGGAGGCCGAGACGGGC